Molecule: ribosomal RNA, 301 nt
Filed under: uncultured bacterium
Lineage: Bacteria
Description: partial 16S ribosomal RNA
Rfam family: Bacterial small subunit ribosomal RNA
Source: RNAcentral
CAGCAGCCGCGGUAAUACAGAGGGUGCGAGCGUUAAUCGGAUUUACUGGGCGUAAAGCGUGCGUAGGCGGCUAAUUGAGUCGGAUGUGAAAUCCCCGAGCUUAACUUGGGAAUUGCAUUCGAUACUGGUUAGCUAGAGUGUGGGAGAGGAUGGUAGAAUUCCAGGUGUAGCGGUGAAAUGCGUAGAGAUCUGGAGGAAUACCGAUGGCGAAGGCAGCCAUCUGGCCUAACACUGACGCUGAGGUACGAAAGCAUGGGGAGCAAACAGGAUUAGAUACCCCCGUAGUCCCUGUAUCUUAUAC